This 90-nucleotide transfer RNA is filed under the name Luteolibacter yonseiensis. Its description in RNAcentral is "tRNA-Ser". It matches the Rfam family "tRNA". From Rfam's summary of the family: Transfer RNA (tRNA) molecules are approximately 80 nucleotides in length. Lineage: Bacteria; Pseudomonadati; Verrucomicrobiota; Verrucomicrobiia; Verrucomicrobiales; Verrucomicrobiaceae. RNAcentral also lists the same sequence under 2 other names. The record is from RNAcentral.
GGGCAGGUGUCAGAGUGGUCGAAUGAGCACGCUUGGAAAGCGUGUGUGCGUGAAAGCGUACCGAGGGUUCGAAUCCCUCCCUGUCCGCCA